RNAcentral lists this ribosomal RNA (918 nucleotides) under uncultured bacterium. RNAcentral describes it as "bacterial SSU rRNA". It matches the Rfam family "Bacterial small subunit ribosomal RNA", at positions 8 to 916 of the family's 1533-position model. The record is from RNAcentral.
AGGGUUCGAUCAUGGCUCAGGAUGAACGCUAGCGGCACGCUUCAUACAUGCAAGUCGAGGGGCAGCAUAAAGUACUUGUACUUUGAUGGCGACCGGCGAACGGGUGCGUAACGCGUAUGCAACUUACCUUUUACUAGAGAAUAGCCAAGAGAAAUUUUGAUUAAUGCUCUAUACACUUCUUAACUCACAUGAGUUUUUAAGAAAAGCUCCGGCGGUAAAAGAUGGGCAUGCGUCCUAUUAGCUUGUAGGUGAGGUAACGGCUCACCUAAGCUCCGAUAGGUAGGGGUCCUGAGAGGGAGAUCCCCCACACUGGUACUGAGACACGGACCAGACUUCUACGGAAGGCAGCAGUAAGGAAUAUUGGACAAUGGAGGAAACUCUGAUCCAGCGAUGCCGCGUGAAGGAAGACUGCCCUAUGGGUUGUAAACUUCUUUUAUACAGGAAGAAACCUUUCCACGUGUGGAAAGCUGACGGUACUGUAAGAAUAAGGAUCGGCUAACUCCGUGCCAGCAGCCGCGGUAAUACGGAGGAUCCAAGCGUUAUCCGGAAUUAUUGGGUUUAAAGGGUCCGCAGGCUGUUUGUUAAGUCAGGGGUGAAAUCCUACCGCUCAACGGUAGAACUGCCUUUGAUACUGACAAACUUGAGUUAUUGUGAAGUAGUUAGAAUGUGUAGUGUAGCGGUGAAAUGCAUAGAUAUUACACAGAAUACCAAUUGCGAAGGCAGAUUACUAACAAUUAACUGACGCUGAGGGACGAAAGCGUGGGUAGCGAACAGGAUUAGAUACCCUGGUAGUCCACGCCGUAAACGAUGGUCACUAGCUGUUCGAUGUACAUUGGUACAUUGAGUGGCUAAGCGAAAGUGAUAAGUGACCCACCUGGGGAGUACGCUCGCAAGAGUGAAACUCAAAUGAAUUGACGG